CCUACGGGGGGCAGCAGUGAGGAAUAUUGGUCAAUGGGCGCGAGCCUGAACCAGCCAAGUAGCGUGAAGGAUGACUGCCCUAUGGGUUGUAAACCUCUUUUGUCAGGGAGCAACGCCGGCUACGUGUAGCCGGACUGCGCGUACCUGAAGAAAAAGCAUCGGCUAACUCCGUGCCAGCAGCCGCGGUAAUACGAAGGAUGCGAGCGUUAUCCGGAUUUAUUGGGUUUAAAGGGUGCGUAGGCGGAAUUCCAAGUCAGCGGGAAAAUGGUGGGGCUCAACCUCGCUCAGCCGUUGAAACUGGCGUUAUUGAGUGGGCGAGAAGUAUGCGGAAUGCGGGGUGUAGCGGUGAAAUGCAUAGCUAUCACGCAGAACUCCGAUUGCGAAGGCAGCAUACCGGCGCCCAACUGACGCUGAAGCACGAAAGCGUGGGUAUCGAACAGGAUUAGAUACCCGAGUAGUC
Molecule: ribosomal RNA, 460 nt
Filed under: uncultured bacterium
Lineage: Bacteria
Description: partial 16S ribosomal RNA
Rfam family: Bacterial small subunit ribosomal RNA
Source: RNAcentral